GACGAACGCUGGCGGCGUGCUUAACACAUGCAAGUCGAACGGAAAGGCCCUGCUUUUGUGGGGUGCUCGAGUGGCGAACGGGUGAGUAACACGUGAGUAACCUGCCCUUGACUUUGGGAUAACUUCAGGAAACUGGGGCUAAUACCGGAUAGGUGCUCCUGCUGCAUGGUGGGGGUUGGAAAGUUUCGGCGGUUGGGGAUGGACUCGCGGCUUAUCAGCUUGUUGGUGGGGUAGUGGCUUACCAAGGCUUUGACGGGUAGCCGGCCUGAGAGGGUGACCGGCCACAUUGGUACUCAGAUACGGCCCAGACUCCUACGGGAGGCAGCAGUGGGGAAUAUUGCACAAUGGGCGGAAGCCUGAUGCAGCAACGCCGCGUGCGGGAUGACGGCCUUCGGGUUGUAAACCGCUUUCGCCUGUGACGAAGCGUGAGUGACGGUAAUGGGUAAAGAAGCACCGGCUAACUACGUG
RNAcentral lists this ribosomal RNA (468 nucleotides) under uncultured bacterium. RNAcentral's name for it is "partial 16S ribosomal RNA". It matches the Rfam family "Bacterial small subunit ribosomal RNA", at positions 28 to 507 of the family's 1533-position model. The record is from RNAcentral.